Acinonyx jubatus (cheetah) is the source of this 6689-nucleotide long non-coding RNA. RefSeq lists it as uncharacterized. NCBI's taxonomy places the organism in Eukaryota, Metazoa, Chordata, Mammalia, Carnivora, Felidae. The record is from RefSeq and is a predicted model, not a curated record. The transcript has 3 exons.
AUAUAUAUAUGUGUCAAGUCCACGUGAUCCAAUGUCUCAUUCAGGGCCCUUGUUUCUUUCUUGAUCCUGUGUAUAGAUGAUUUAUCCAUUGUUGUAAGUGGGGUAAUAAAGUCCUCUGCAAUUACCACAUUCUUAUCAAUAAGGUUGCUUGUGUUUGUGAUUAAUUGUUUUAAAUAUUUUGGUCUCCCAUAUUCGGCACUUAGAAAUUUAUAAUUGUUAGCUCUUUCUGAUGGAUAGACCCUGUAAUUAUUACAUAAUGCCCUUCUCCAGCUCUUGUUACAGCCUUUAAUUUAAAGUCUAGUUAGUCUGAUAAAAGUAUGGCUACUAAGGCUUUAUUUGACUUCCAGUAGCAUGACAGAUAGUUCUCCAUCCCCUCACUUUCAAUCUGAAGGUGUCCUCAGGUCUAAAAUGAGUCUCUUGUAGACAGCAAAUAGAUGGGUGUUGUGUUUUUUAUCCAUUCUGGUACCCUAUGUCUUUUGGUGGGAGCAUUUAGUCCAUUUACAUUCAGUGUUAUAGAAAGAUAUGGGUUUAGAGUCAUUGUGAUGUCUGUAGGUUUCAUGCUUGUAGUGAUGUCUCUGGUACUUUGUCUCAUAGGAUUCCCCCUUAAGAUCUCUUGUAAGCCUGGUUUAGUGUUGAUGAAUUCCUUCAGUUUUUGUUUGGGAAGACCUUUAUCUCUCCUUCUAUUCUGAAUGACAGACUUCCUGGAUAAAGGAUUCAUGGCUGCAUAUUUUUUCUGUUCAUCACAUUGAAGAUUUCCUGCCAUUCUUUUCUGGCCUGCCAAGUUUCAGUAGAUAGAUCCGUCACUAGUCUUAUCGGUCUUCCUUUAUAUGUUAGGGCAUGCUUAUUCCUAGCUGCUUUCAGAAUUUUCUCUUUAUUCUUGUAUUUUGCCAGUUUCACUGUGAUAUGUCAUGCAGAAGAUCGAUUCAAGUUACGUCUGAAGGGAGUUCCUGUGCUUCUUGGAUUCCAUGCCUUUUUCCUUCCCCAGAUGGGGGAAGUUCUCAGAAUUUCUGAAUCCCAUUUGGCUUCAUACCUUGGCUUUUGAUUUUCAACUCAUGCUCAUUUAAAAGCUUGAUGAGUUACUUUGGACAUGCAUACCUGCCUUGAAUUUGGCACCUUCCUUCAGACCUGAUGUUCUGUAUUCUUACUUCAGAUCUACACACCAUAAUUGCAGGUGUUUCUGGCUACAGCUGCCAUUCAUCAGAUCCACCAAGGGGAGCAACGAGUGAGCAUACUUCUAUAUUCUAAAAACUGGCCUGGAACUGUCCACAACCCAAGGUCAUAAGAGCAUUUGGACACCAAGAAUUACUUCUGCAUACUGCCAUAAAUGCCAAUUCUCCAGUAACAUGUCGAGGAAGUAAGAAGGGAAAGACCCUAAUCAGUCCCAGUAUACACAUGCUAAUUUAGAAAAAAGAUACCUGGAACACAGGAGACAAGGGUGUGUUGUAGGACAAAAUGGAAAUUAUGUUAGGUACAGUGAAAAAUAUAUUUUAAUACAUAAGCUGGAAAGUAAAGAGAACCUGAAAAUACAGGUGGUAAUAUUGCAAAUUUCUGAAUAUGUCUAAAACACAGAAAUAUAUCUUAGGUGAUCUUCUGAAGACAGAAAGUAUUUUGAAUGAGUGGUGGAUUUUAAAUGAAACAAUUAAAUUCAUACUUAGUGGAAUCGUAGCUGUCAUGGACUGACUGGCAGCCUUUUUUUUAUCUCUUUAAUUCUCUUACUCCUUUUUUGUUCAAAAAGCAUUAAGCCUCUGUUAUGGACUAUUUUUCUAAUAAAAAAUGUAGUUCUAAGAAUAUCACUUCUACUUGGGAAGUGCUCAUAUAUAAGAGAUGGGCUUUUGGAGUGUCAGCCACUUCAAGGAUCACAUUUAUUUCAAGCAUUUGUUUUUCUUUAUAGGCUUUCAUGAGAGUGGACUCAUGUUAUAUUCUUAUAUGCUCUGAUAGCUGCUUUUUGAACUUUAAAAAACUGAGAUGCAUGAAAGACUUCAGAGGUGCUUUAUCACUUCCAACAGGAGAAAUAUCAAUGUACAAUUGCUAAAGAGAGCCAGAAUCGAACCAAGUUCUUUGAGAAUAAGAUUUCUCUCCCUGGGAUUAAACAUUAAAUGAAAGAUAUAUUUAAAAAUGUUGGAACUUUCCUUUUUCUGGAGAAUCAAGAUCCUUAUUUGAUAGUAGGAACAGAUUUGUACAGAAAUACAUUAUUUGAAAUAUGUUUGCUGUUAUCUGCUGCGGAGGUGGAUGCCAGAAGGGAGAUUCUUGGUAUCACAUCAGAAAACUUGAAGAUUAUAGAACACAUGGAAGAUUUGGUUGGAACAGUAUAACAGCAGGACUUUUUACUUAUACCCAAGGCACUCCAUUCUAUAACUAAAGAAGAGACCUGGGCUCCAACAAGGAAUUUUCAGUUUGAGCUCAGAACACUGAGAAGAUAAGGAGGGAGGAGAGAAGAAGGAUUUUUUUUGUAAAUAUUUUGAAGGUUUAAUUUAUUUUUGAAGAAGUGGUUGAAUUAAUAGUAGGGGCCUAGUAGUUUAAAUGUUAGAAAGUAGAGGAUAGUUGACAUUUUGUGUUGCUGUAAUAUUUUAUUUGGUUUUGAUAACACUCUUUUAUAGUAUAAAAUGCAUAACUUUUCUAGUGAGCUUUCCGGGGUGAGGGGUUGUAUUGUUAAAUGUGAAGGAGAAUACCAUUAGUGUUUAAUAUUUAUGUUACUAUAUUAUUUUAAGUAUAAUGAUACAGUUAUAUUCUGAAAAACACUCUUCUCUGAUGAGCUUUGUGGGAGGGAAAGAGCACAUAUAUGGUUAAAUGUGAGGGAAAUAUUUGUGUAAUUUUAGAGCAAUUCUAUUGUAUUAUUUGUAGAAUAAUUAUGCUUGUGCAAUGUAUAUCCUUGUCACUUAGAUUGGUAGAUUGAGAGGGGAUGUGUAUUUAGUACCUGUACCAGUAUCUAGUAGUAGAAAACAUUUGGUAAAUAUUUUUUGAUUGAAUUAAUGAUUAAUUAACUGUGAUUAUUUAUGUAGUAUUUCCUCAUUAUUCAGUAUUUCCUCAUAAAUGUCAGAUAAAAGUUAUAUUUAUUUUAUAAAUAAAAAAUAUUUAUCUAGCGUUUCCACCCAGAAAUCCCUGGGUGGGAAAAACAAACAUAACAAAAUGGCAAUCAGAAACCAUAAAUAAUCCUUACAUAUCUGAUUGAAAACAAUAUCCUCCCAUGUGCUGCAGAAUGAACAGGACCACUCAUCCCAACACCCUCCUUAGUAGUCAAGAUUCUAGAAGCACCAGCCUUUCAUUUUUCCUUAGGAAACAUGUAUAUUAAAUAUCUAUAUGAGAUAUCAACCCAUAUCCAUGGAAGGCCAGUUGGAGUUGGCGCUAUCAGUGGUAAGCAUCGGGAGGAUUUGGGUAUUUAAGAUCUUAACUUUAGAACCAUAGGACACAGAAAGACUUGAGGCUUAAAUAUAUUUUGGAACUGCACCACUUCUGGAAGAUGAGUCAUACUGAAGCUGCUGAAGCCAGAUAAUAGACAUAGGAUGACACUCUUUGGAUUGGACUGAGUGGAAGAAGUCAAUGAUAGUGUAGUGGCUAUUUUAAAGAAAAAAAUUUAAUGUUUAUUCGUUUUUGAGAGACAGAGAGAGACAGAGCAUGAGUGGGGGAGGGUCAGAGAGAGAGGGAGACAGAAUUCAAAGCAGGCUCCAGGCUCUGAGCUGUCAGAACAGAGCCUGACGCAGGGCUUGAACUCAUGAGCCCUGAGAUCAUGACCUGAGCCAAAGUUGCACGCUUAACCAACUGAGCCACCCAGGAGCCCCUGUAGUGGCUAUUUUAAACUGAUGACCUUAACUUCCUCUGGUUAACGACAUUCCUAAUCUACAUAGUUACAGAGGUGGGUUUCCAGUGGCCAUGUUUCAAUAUUUCACUAUUCUUAUGAUAAUAAUAAUCAAUACACUUUUCCUAUGAUCAUAGUUGAUUGGAUCAGGGAUGAGUAUCAGACUCAACCGAGCUGUUCAGAGUCCCUUUCCUACAAACUUAGACUUGCAAUGAGGGGAGAAAAUGUUUUCUGUGGCCAAGCUUACUAUUUGUGUAGCAAGUUUAAUUCUUAACUUCAUAGUAGAUGUGCAAGGAAUGCCACAUAAUUUUAUUUAAGCUUAACUAAACCUAACUCCAAACUUUAACCCCACUGAGCUACUGGGAAAUUAAAUGGAAGUCAUGUUUGAGGUCCUCCCCUUUCCAUAUGUCAUAGAAGAAUAUGAGAGUCUUAUGUGGCACUUCAACAAUGGAGGUUACCAAUGAAAGUUUCACUGUGCAUGCCUGUUUAUUACCUUUGAAAUAUGGCAGCUCCAUAGUUUAUGUGUCAACUAUGGGUGAAGAAAUUUUUUUACCAAACAGGAAAUUUUAUAUAGGUAUCUCCAGGUCUUGGUUCUAAGUUCUCUGAAGCAAGGAAGUACAAAAAGCCUGACUUUGUUUUUGUAAUGGGAUAGAAAAAAAUACAUGUAAGAAAAAUCCCUCAGAAGUCAAUGUCUCAGUAAAUUAUACUGCUACUCAAGUGAACUUAUGAACUGUUGAGUGGACAUAUUAUGGAUACCCAUAGGGUUGCCUUCCUAGAUUUUGGCAAUUCCUCCUUUUCUGGUUACUACUCUGUUUUAUUCUACAGAGCUGAGUCCAGAGCCACAGAGAUUGAACCUCACUCAAUGUGAAGGUCAUUUUCAUGUAUCAACAUGGCUGGGCUACAGUCCAUCAUUCAAUCAAACACUAAUAUUUUUGUUUUUGGGGAAAGUGUUUUUUUAGAUGUGAUUAAAGUAUAUAAUCAAAUACCUUUAAGGCGAUUAUCCUAGAUAAUACAGAUGGCUAUUAUCCAAUCAAUUGUAAGGUCAUAAGAGGAAAGUAGAACCUUUUCUAAAGAAGAAGAAUUCUGCCUAUGGAUAGAAGCUUCAGCUUGUGCUCAAGAGGUCUAGCUUGUACUUCCUGAUGACCUGCCCUAUGGAUUUUGGAUUUGUCUAGGCAACCCCCAAAUCACAUUACCCAAUUACUAAUAAAUCUCUCCUUACAUAUAUUACAUACACUAUUAUCUGUAAUAUCUAUAUAAUGUAUCUCUAGAUAUACUGAGUCCAUUCAGGCUGCUAUAACAAAGUACCAUAGGUUGGAUAGCUCAUAAACAAUAUAAAUUUAUUUCUCACAGUUCUGGAGGCUGGGGAGUCCAAGACCAAGGUGUAAGCAUGGUCAAGGGCUGGUGAAAGCCCUCUUUGGAUUGCAGACUACCAACUUAUUAUUGUAUCCUCAUGUGAUGGCAUGGAGCUAAGGAGCUGAUUGGGGUCUCCUUUAUGAGUACUAAUCAUAUUCAUGAAAACUUCACCCACAUGACCUAAACACCUCUCAAAGUACCCAUCUCCUAAUACCAUUACAUUGGGCAUUAGGAUUUCAAUAUAUGAAUUUUGGGUGGACACAAAUAUUCAUAUCAUAGCAUAUAAUAUGUAUAAUAUAUCUUUUAAUAUAUAACAGUAUUAUAUAAUCCUGUCUCCAUUCCUCCUAGUUAUAGAUAAUUGGUUUAGGGAUAAAUACACUUAAUCCAAACAGGAUUAAUCAGAUUCUCCCUUGUAAAGUCGUGUUUUUCAACUUAGACACAGAGAAACUAAAGGAUAACUACAUCAUUUUAAUAUUAAGACAUUUUAUGAGGCUCAAACAAUCCUAUUGCUGAGACCCCAAAGCUACUGUGACAUCUUGGAUUUUAUGACAUAAUCUAUUUUCAGCCUAAUAAAUUCUAUUUACUUUUUUUGGUUUAACAUAAAGUUGGUUUCUGAAUUUUGUAAUCUGACAAUUAUAAAUAGGGAUACAUGGGAGUACCUGGAUUAAAAGCCUAAAUGCAAGACCUGGAACCAUAAAGCUCCUAAAAGAAAUCAUAAACAGUGAUCCCUUGGACAUAGACUUAGAAACAUAUUCAUGGAGAUGUUUCCGCAGGCAAGGGAAACUAAGGAAAAAGUAAACUAUUGGGACUACAACAAAAUGAAAAGCUUUUACAGAGGAAUAAAAACAUUAACAAAACAAAAAGGAAGCCUAAUGAAUGGGAGAAGAUAUUUGCAAAUAUUACAUCUGAUAAGGGGUUACUAUACAAAAUAGAUAAAGAAUUUAUACAACUCGACACCCCGUUCCCCAAAUAAUCUGACAAAAAAAUGAGAAGACCUUCACGGACAUUGUUUUUAAGAAUUCUUACAGAUGGCAAACAGACUGAUGAAAAGAUGCUCAAAAUCACUAAUCAUCAGGGAAAAGCAAAUCAAAACCCAAUGAGAUAUCACCUUAAACCUUUCAGAAUGACUAGAAUCAAAAGGACAAAAAUAAGUGCUGGGAAAGAUAUGGAGAGAAAGAAACCUGCAUGCAUAGUUGGUAGUAAUGUAAAUUGGUGCAGCCAAUGUGGAAAUCAGUAUGGCACUUUCUCCAAAAAUUAAAAAUAGAAAUGCCAUGUGACCUAGUAAUUGCACUACUGGGUUUUUAUCCAAAGAAAAUGAAAACGCUAAUUCAAAAAAGAUAUAUGCAUAUCUAUGUUUAUCGAAGUAUUAUUUACAGUUGCCAUGAUGUGGAAGCAACCUGUUUAUCAAUAGGUGAAUGGAUAAAGAAGAUGUGGUGUAUGUAUAAAUGAACUAUUACUCAACCAUAAAAAAGAAUGAGGUCUUGCCAUUUGUAACAAUAUGGAUGGCCCAGAGGUUGUUGAGCUAAGUUAAAUAAGUCAUACA